This 530-nucleotide ribosomal RNA is filed under the name Babesia venatorum (nom. ined.). RNAcentral's name for it is "SSU rRNA". It matches the Rfam family "Eukaryotic small subunit ribosomal RNA", at positions 512 to 1092 of the family's 1831-position model. Lineage: Eukaryota; Apicomplexa; Aconoidasida; Piroplasmida; Babesiidae. The record is from RNAcentral.
GAAUGAUGGUGACCUAAACCCUCACCAGAGUAACAAUUGGAGGGCAAGUCUGGUGCCAGCAGCCGCGGUAAUUCCAGCUCCAAUAGCGUAUAUUAAACUUGUUGCAGUUAAAAAGCUCGUAGUUGAAUUUCUGCGUUAUCGAGUUAUUGACUCUUGUCUUUAAUCGAUUUCGCUUUUGGGAUUUAUCCCUUUUUACUUUGAGAAAAUUAGAGUGUUUCAAGCAGACUUUUGUCUUGAAUACUUCAGCAUGGAAUAAUAGAGUAGGACUUUGGUUCUAUUUUGUUGGUUUUUGAACCUUAGUAAUGGUUAAUAGGAACGGUUGGGGGCAUUCGUAUUUAACUGUCAGAGGUGAAAUUCUUAGAUUUGUUAAAGACGAACUACUGCGAAAGCAUUUGCCAAGGACGUUUCCAUUAAUCAAGAACGAAAGUUAGGGGAUCGAAGACGAUCAGAUACCGUCGUAGUCCUAACCAUAAACUAUGCCGACUAGGGAUUGGAGGUCGUCAUUUUUCCGACUCCUUCAGCACCUUGAG